This 458-nucleotide ribosomal RNA is filed under the name uncultured bacterium. RNAcentral describes it as "partial 16S ribosomal RNA". It matches the Rfam family "Bacterial small subunit ribosomal RNA", at positions 338 to 795 of the family's 1533-position model. The record is from RNAcentral.
CCUACGGGAGGCAGCAGUGAGGAAUAUUUGUCAAUGGGCGAGAGCCUGAACCAGCCAAGUCGCGUGAGGGAGUACUGCCCUAUGGGUUGUAAACCUCUUUUGUCGGGGCGCAAAAGCCGGACGUGUCCGGCUGUGAGCGUACCCGAAGAAAACGCAUCGGCUACCUCCGUGCCAGCAGCCGCGUUAAUACGGAGGAUGCGAGCGUUAUCCGGAUUUAUUGGGGUUAAAGGGUGCGCAGGCGGAUUUUUAAGUCAGCGGUCAAAGCGUGGGGCUCAAACCCAUCCAGCCGUUGAAACUGGGGAUCUAGAGUGUGCGAGAGGUAUGCGGAAUGCGUGGUGUAGCGGUGAAAUGCAUAGAUAUCACGCAGAACCCCGAUUGCGAAGGCAGCAUACCGGUGCACAACUGACGCUCAGGCACGAAAGCGUGGGUAUCGAACAGGAUUAGAUACCCGGGUAGUC